GAUGAACGCUGGCGGCGUGCCUAAUACAUGCAAGCAGAGCGAAGCGGGGACGGGUGAGCAACACGUGGAAACCCUCCUAUAAGACUGGGAUAACUUCGGGAAACAAGACCAAAACCGGAAACAUAUAGAUUGACCCGCGCUGCAUUAGCUAGUUGGAUAGGUGACGGCUUACAAAGGGAACGUUGCAUAGCCGACCUGAGAGGGUGAUCGGCCACACUGGAACUGAGACACGGUCCAGACUCCUGCGAUAUGCAGCUGUAGGGAAUCUUCCGCAAAAGGCGAAAGCCUGACGGAGCAACGCCGAGUGAGUGAUGAAGGUCUUCAGAUCGUAAAGCUCUGUUAUUAGUGAAGCGGUACCUAAUCAGAAAGCCGCGGCUAACUGCGUGCGAGCAGCCGCAGUAAUU
RNAcentral lists this ribosomal RNA (404 nucleotides) under uncultured bacterium. Its description in RNAcentral is "partial 16S ribosomal RNA". It matches the Rfam family "Bacterial small subunit ribosomal RNA", at positions 28 to 525 of the family's 1533-position model. The record is from RNAcentral.